This 1161-nucleotide ribosomal RNA is filed under the name uncultured Flavobacteriaceae bacterium. Its description in RNAcentral is "bacterial SSU rRNA". It matches the Rfam family "Bacterial small subunit ribosomal RNA", at positions 363 to 1533 of the family's 1533-position model. Lineage: Bacteria; Pseudomonadati; Bacteroidota; Flavobacteriia; Flavobacteriales; Flavobacteriaceae. The record is from RNAcentral.
AUUGGUCAAUGGACGAAAGUCUGAACCAGCCAUGCCGCGUGCAGGAUGACUGCCCUAUGGGUUGUAAACUGCUUUUAUAUAGGAAGAAAAACUUUCUCGUGAGAAAGCUUGACGGUACUAUAAGAAUAAGGAUCGGCUAACUCCGUGCCAGCAGCCGCGGUAAUACGGAGGAUCCAAGCGUUAUCCGGAAUCAUUGGGUUUAAAGGGUCUGUAGGUGGACAAAUAAGUCAGAGGUGAAAUCCUGCAGCUCAACUGUAGAACUGCCUUUGAUACUGUUUGUCUUGAGUUAUUAUGAAGUGGUUAGAAUGUGUAGUGUAGCGGUGAAAUGCAUAGAUAUUACACAGAAUACCGAUUGCGAAGGCAGAUCACUAAUAAUCAACUGACACUGAUGGACGAAAGCGUGGGUAGCGAACAGGAUUAGAUACCCUGGUAGUCCACGCCGUAAACGAUGGUCACUAGCUGUUUGGACUUCGGUCUGAGUGGCUAAGCGAAAGUGAUAAGUGACCCACCUGGGGAGUACGUUCGCAAGAAUGAAACUCAAAGGAAUUGACGGGGGCCCGCACAAGCGGUGGAGCAUGUGGUUUAAUUCGAUGAUACGCGAGGAACCUUACCAGGGCUUAAAUGUUAGGUGACAGAUCUAGAAAUAGAUUUUUCUUCGGACACUUAACAAGGUGCUGCAUGGUUGUCGUCAGCUCGUGCCGUGAGGUGUCAGGUUAAGUCCUAUAACGGGCGCAACCCCUGUUGUUAGUUGCCAGCGAGUAAUGUCGGGAACUCUAGCAAGACUGCCAGUGCAAACUGUGAGGAAGGUGGGGAUGACGUCAAAUCAUCACGGCCCUUACGUCCUGGGCUACACACGUGCUACAAUGGUAGGUACAGAGAGCAGCCAAUGCGCGAGCAUGAGCAAAUCUAUAAAACCUAUCUCAGUUCGGAUCGGAGUCUGCAACUCGACUCCGUGAAGCUGGGAAUCGCUAGUAAUCGGAUAUCAGCCAUGAUCCGGUGAAUACGUUCCCGGGCCUUGUACACACCGCCCGUCAAGCCAUGGAAGUUGGGAGUGCCUGAAGUCCGUUUCCGCAAGGAUCGGCCUAGGGUAAAAUCGAUAACUAGGGCUAAGUCGUAACAAGGUAGCCGUACCGGAAGGUGCGGCUGGAACACCUCCUUUCU